Molecule: long non-coding RNA, 1512 nt
Filed under: Salmo salar (Atlantic salmon)
Lineage: Eukaryota; Metazoa; Chordata; Actinopteri; Salmoniformes; Salmonidae
Description: lncRNA (ENSSSAG00000095428.1)
Source: RNAcentral
UAUAAACUGAUAAAUGAUUGCUUGAACAUGGAAAAAAAAUUUAAGCAACUGAACUUAUGCCCUGCAGGUGUUAUCUACAUAAAAACUAGUAAUCAUAUCCCAGGCUGUCUUACACAGGCUGACUUUGCAACUAAGAUCAAUGAUGUUUCGUUGUGUCUGUCCACCCUGACUGGCAUCAGUGUCUUGGAGCUUCGUAAAUGGGACAUUUCUAAAUGGGGCCUUUAGCCCUCCAGACUAUGACUGUCACCAGAUUACAGGCCUUGGCCCUGAUAAAUGAAAGAGCCCCAGGCUCCUAGGGCCUGCACCCUCUUCAACAGAGGAGGAUGGGACCCGGUUUCCUAAUUCACUCUAAUUUUCAAACGAUCUGAUUGUGGAAAUGGGAAUGCGAGCAGACCCUUAAAACGACUAAUGAGCUUAAUCGACCACACUUGGCAAUCUUAUUUAAGUCCAUGAAUUAAACCAUUAAAAAACCUGCUUGAAUUUAACUGGCGGCCCCUUAAUCUCAACAAAUAACUCUAAUCCUGCGUGCCGGAACGCAGGCUUCAUGGAGGCUUCCUGCGUUAGCCUACUGUAUGUGUGUGUGUUUGUUAUGUGUGUGUGUGUGUUUGUUAUGUGUGUGUGUGUGUGUGUGUGUAUGCAGGCGAGGCGAAGUGAUAGUAGGGUAUCAGAAGACUUGUCCCAUCCUUAUUCCCCCAUUGGUUCCCUCCAGGGACAGUGUUUAUUGGCUGUUUGUGAAGCCCUCUCUUCCCCCGCCGCCCUCAGCAACCAUUGUUUCAACAAAGCCUGUUACUUGAUCGUUCAAUUUUCUGCUUCCUCUGGUUCCAGUGCUGCAGCUGCUGCGUCUCCCGAGCAUGGAGAAUGGGAUGAGAGGGGAACUGCUCCACUGAUAAGGAUGAAGGGCAAAUAUUGAAACCUCACUGUUUGUUUUCCUGUCGUCGCCUUCUCUUCUUCUCCUCCUUAUUUACCCAACACAUUUCUAUUCUUCGCCUCACCAAACCUCGGUGGCUGCUGCUAAUUCUCGUUUCCUUACAUUGAUCUGCAACCAUCUGUAACCAGGAGGAAGGACUGUGAUGGUUUACGGGGGGCUAGUUAAGACCCCUGCUGCCAUAGGUGGUGGUCGUGAUACUGACAGACAGGACAGAGGGACUAAAGUGUUGGCUGCCACGUGACGUCACUGGCGGGCAUGAAGCUGGGAACGGGAUCUGGGAGAGAAAGAGAGGCUGAAGCAGAUGGCAUCUCCGUAACAAUGCCCGCUGAGCCCUGAGACUCAGACCCUCCAACUGCAGGACACACACGCUGUCUGCUCCCUGCUCCACUGACACAACCACUGAUGCUGGAUGACAGCUCAGACUGGGGGACUGCAAGGUCCGGGAGGGAGGCAGAGGGAGAGUGACAGGCGGCUGUAGGACAAAGUCACCGUUUUUUUUCUCAGUAGUUUGUUGUUUGGAAAAUAGCUCUUCAAUUUGAUUCUAAUAUGUGGUUUGGUAAGCACACUAGCCAUGUUUUCUUGUA